This 494-nucleotide ribosomal RNA is filed under the name uncultured bacterium. Its description in RNAcentral is "partial 16S ribosomal RNA". It matches the Rfam family "Bacterial small subunit ribosomal RNA", at positions 28 to 507 of the family's 1533-position model. The record is from RNAcentral.
GACGAACGCUGGCGGCGCGCUUAACACAUGCCAGUCGAACGGAAAGGCCUGCUUUCCCUUGUGGAUUGCGGGUACUCGAGUGGCGAACGGGUGAGUAACACGUGAGUGAUCUGCCCCCAACUUGGGUAUAAGCCUGGGAAACUGGGUCUAAUUCCCGAUAGGACUGCAGGGUGGUGCCUGUGGUGGAAAACGAUUUUCUAGUGGUUGGGGAUGAGCUCGCGGCCUAUCAGCUUGUUGGUGGGGUAAUGGCCUACCAAGGCGGCGACGGGUAGCCGGCCUGAGAGGGUGGACGGCCACAUUGGGACUGAGAGACGGCCCAGACUCCUACGGGAGGCAGCAGUGGGGAAUAUUGCACAAUGGGCGGAAGCCUGAUGCAGCGACGCCGCGUGGGGGAUGACGGCCUUCGGGUUGUAAACUCCUUUCGACCGCGAGGAAGCCACCUGGUUGGAAGGGUGGUGACGGUAGUGGUAGAAGAAGCACCGGCUAACUACGUG